AGAGUUUGAUCCUGGCUCAGGAUGAACGCUGGGGCUGCUUAACACAUGCAAGUCGAACGAAUCCCUUCGGGGAUUAGUGGCGGACGGGUGAGUAACGCGUGAGAAUCUGCCAAAAGGACUGGGACAACCCACUGGAAACGGUGGCUAAUACCGGAUGAGCCGCAACGUAAAAGAGGAAACUCGCCUUUUGAGGAGCUCGCGUCUGAUUAGCUAGUUGGUGAGGUAAAGGCUCACCAAGGCGGCGAUCAGUAGCUGGUCUGAGAGGAUGAUCAGCCACACUGGGACUGAGACACGGCCCAGACUCCUACGGGAGGCAGCAGUGGGGAAUUUUCCGCAAUGGGCGAAAGCCUGACGGAGCAAGACCGCGUGAGGGAGGAAGGCUCUUGGGUUGUAAACCUCUUUUGUCAGGGAAGAACACAAUGACGGUACCUGAAGAAUCAGCAUCGGCUAACUCCGUGCCAGCAGCCGCGGUAAUACGGAGGAUGCAAGCGUUAUCCGGAAUUAUUGGGCGUAAAGCGUCCGCAGGUGGCACUUCAAGUCUGCUGUCAAAGACCGGGGCUUAACCCUGGAAAGGCAGUGGAAACUGAAGCGCUAGAGUGUGGCAGGGGUAGAGGGAAUUCCCGGUGUAGCGGUGAAAUGCGUAGAGAUCGGGAAGAACAUCGGUGGCGAAAGCGCUCUACUGGGCCACAACUGACACUCAGGGACGAAAGCUAGGGGAGCGAAUGGGAUUAGAUACCCUAGUAGUCC
RNAcentral lists this ribosomal RNA (747 nucleotides) under uncultured bacterium. Its description in RNAcentral is "bacterial SSU rRNA". It matches the Rfam family "Bacterial small subunit ribosomal RNA", at positions 8 to 796 of the family's 1533-position model. The record is from RNAcentral.